Molecule: unclassified non-coding RNA, 343 nt
Filed under: soil metagenome
Description: partial contains 5.8S ribosomal RNA, internal transcribed spacer 2, and large subunit ribosomal RNA
Rfam family: 5.8S ribosomal RNA (bases 1-120)
Source: RNAcentral
GAUGAAGAACGCAGCGAAAUGCGAUAAGUAAUGUGAAUUGCAGAAUUCAGUGAAUCAUCGAAUCUUUGAACGCACAUUGCGCCCGCCAGCAUUCUGGCGGGCAUGCCUGUUCGAGCGUCAUUUCAACCCUCGAGCCCCCCCGGGGGCCUCGGUGUUGGGGGACGGCACACCAGCCGCCCCCGAAAUGCAGUGGCGACCCCGCCGCAGCCUCCCCUGCGUAGUAGCACACACCUCGCACCGGAGCGCGGAGGCGGUCACGCCGUAAAACGCCCAACUUUCUUAGAGUUGACCUCGGAUCAGGUAGGAAUACCCGCUGAACUUAAGCACAUCAAUAAGCGGAGGA